RNAcentral lists this unclassified non-coding RNA (265 nucleotides) under Hevea brasiliensis (rubber tree). The record is from RNAcentral. Lineage: Eukaryota; Viridiplantae; Streptophyta; Magnoliopsida; Malpighiales; Euphorbiaceae.
AAAUAAUGAAAACCCAAAGUUAAACUGACUCGACUUGGACCCCAUAUGUUUGAAUUAACAAUGUCAAACAUGGAUGCAGCUCGAUUAUCAAUCCUCCUUGGAAAAGAACGAGUUUGUUUGCCAAGUUGAUAAGACUCAUAAUUUAAAGAGGAUAAUUGGGAAAGACAAGGAACCAGUUUCUGAAGUUUGAAGAUAUUUGGGUGACCCAAAUCAUUAUGAAGAAGAUCAAGAGUGGCAUCAAAAGUAAAGGCAAUUGGAGACUUUG